RNAcentral lists this ribosomal RNA (253 nucleotides) under uncultured bacterium. RNAcentral's name for it is "partial 16S ribosomal RNA". It matches the Rfam family "Bacterial small subunit ribosomal RNA", at positions 524 to 776 of the family's 1533-position model. The record is from RNAcentral.
GACAGAGGGUGCAAAUGUCAUUCGGAAUUACUGGGCGUAAAGCGCACGUAGGCGGCUUUGUAAGUCAGAGGUGAAAGCCUGGAGCUCAACUCCAGAACUGCCUUUGAGACUGCAUCGCUUGAAUCCAGGAGAGGUGAGUGGAAUUCCGAGUGUAGAGGUGAAAUUCGUAGAUAUUCGGAAGAACACCAGUGGCGAAGGCGGCUCACUGGACUGGUAUUGACGCUGAGGUGCGAAAGCGUGGGGAGCAAAAAGG